AUUGAACGCUGGCGGAAUGCUUUACACAUGCAAGUCGAACGGCAGCACGGACUUCGGUCUGGUGGCGAGUGGCGAACGGGUGAGUAAUGUAUCGGAACGUGCCCAGUCGUGGGGGAUAACGUAGUGAAAAUUACGCUAAUACCGCAUACGAUCUAUGGAUGAAAGCGGGGGAUCGCAAGACCUCGCGCGAUUGGAGCGGCCGAUAUCAGAUUAGGUAGUUGGUGGGGUAAAGGCCCACCACGCCAACGAUCUGUAGCUGGUCUGAGAGGACGACCAGCCACACUGGAACUGAGACACGGUCCAGACUCCGACGGGAGGCAGCAGUGGGGAAUUUUGGACAAUGGGCGAAAGCCUGAUCCAGCCAUUCCGCGUGCAGGAUGAUGGCCCUCGGGUUGUAAACUGCUUUUGUACAGAACGAAAAGGUUUCUACUAAUACUAGGAGCUCAUGACGGUACUGUAAGAAUAAGCACCGGCUAACUACGUGCCAGCAGCCGCGGUAA
RNAcentral lists this ribosomal RNA (500 nucleotides) under uncultured bacterium. Its description in RNAcentral is "partial 16S ribosomal RNA". It matches the Rfam family "Bacterial small subunit ribosomal RNA", at positions 30 to 523 of the family's 1533-position model. The record is from RNAcentral.